Molecule: long non-coding RNA, 261 nt
Filed under: Nicotiana benthamiana
Lineage: Eukaryota; Viridiplantae; Streptophyta; Magnoliopsida; Solanales; Solanaceae
Description: long non-coding RNA (NBEN_LNC017892)
Source: RNAcentral
AUAACAUACAAUAUAUACUAAUUACUACAAUACAAUAUACAAUGAAAUAUAUAUUAUAUAUACUAUACUAAUAACUAGUAUACUAUAUAAAUAUAUUCAAUAAUAGUAUAUUAUAUACUAUACUAAUAACUACUAUAUAAGAUAUUGCCUUAAACAAAAAAAAUUACAAAAAAAAAAUCCGCCAGGCCCACAAAGUCCGGCCCGCUAAGCCCAGUACCACAUGGGCUUAGGCCCAUCACGUGCUGGUCUCACCCAUUUAGC